CCAAAGCCAGACGUUAACACUUUAAGCACAAAAAAGUCAAAGACAAGGGUUUGCAGAAAAAAAUAAGAAGGCAUUGCAAUUGGGGGAUCAGGGAGUGUCAAGUCUUGACAGUGCUCAGCCCGUUUCAGAAUCAGUGAGCAAUAAUAGUAAAAGUGCAGACCAUCCUUUGUUUGGGAAAGUUUAGGUUCUCAGUAACAGUUUAAUUUCACAGGAAUGCAGUGAAUCACCAAGCCGUCCCCCAAGAGUAGCCUCAUCAGUCGCUGAGUCUGUGAACCUCAAUUUUGAUGAUGACAGUUCUUUUGCCUCUCCGGAUCCCUCAGUUGUUUCCCUCAGUAAUGUUGCAGCCUCAUCCCCUUCACCAAGUACUGAUCCUAUUCAUGUGGUUUCAACUCCAAGCUCAAGUGCUGACUUCAGGCUUGGAGAUAUUAUUUUGCCCGAGAGUCCUUCGCUUGAUUCCUCAUCAAGUGCUAGUGAUUUUCUCACGAGUCCACCAACAAGCAGAAAUGAUGGUUAUUCUCCUGUUGAACUAUUUAAAGUGCCUCAAUUAGAUGUUACAGGGCGUUACUCAUUGAAGAUUCCUCGUAUUGUGUGCCUACCAAAGAUCUGAAGACCGCUGAUCCCAGCAGCGUGCAAGUGGAUGAAGAACUGACCUUGAACUACAACCAUCACACAAAGUCCGGGCGAGUGAUGUUUAUC
Frankliniella occidentalis (western flower thrips) is the source of this 696-nucleotide long non-coding RNA. RefSeq lists it as uncharacterized. Lineage: Eukaryota; Metazoa; Arthropoda; Insecta; Thysanoptera; Thripidae. The record is from RefSeq and is a predicted model, not a curated record. The transcript is spliced from 3 exons.